CAAGAGACAUUUGGGAAACAGUACAAGCAGACUAUAGGACUGGAUUUCUUUUUGAGAAGGAUUACCUUACCAGGAAAUUUGAAUGUUACUCUUCAAGUUUGGGAUAUAGGAGGGCAGACAAUAGGUGGCAAGAUGUUGGAUAAAUACAUCUAUGGAGCACAGACAGGGUGUCAAUGUGAAACUCUGACUGAACCAAGCUGGCCUAAGACUCAGAGGUCUUCCUGCUUCUGCCG
This 233-nucleotide long non-coding RNA is filed under the name Rattus norvegicus (Norway rat). Its description in RNAcentral is "long non-coding RNA NONRATT009432". Lineage: Eukaryota; Metazoa; Chordata; Mammalia; Rodentia; Muridae. The record is from RNAcentral.